RNAcentral lists this ribosomal RNA (460 nucleotides) under uncultured bacterium. RNAcentral's name for it is "partial 16S ribosomal RNA". It matches the Rfam family "Bacterial small subunit ribosomal RNA", at positions 338 to 795 of the family's 1533-position model. The record is from RNAcentral.
CCUACGGGUGGCUGCAGUGAGGAAUAUUGGUCAAUGGACGAGAGUCUGAACCAGCCAAGUAGCGUGAAGGAUGACUGCCCUAUGGGUUGUAAACUUCUUUUAUAUGGGAAUAAAAUGUUCCACGUGUGGGAUUUUGUAUGUACCAUAUGAAUAAGGAUCGGCUAACUCCGUGCCAGCAGCCGCGGUAAUACGGAGGAUCCGAGCGUUAUCCGGAUUUAUUGGGUGUAAAGGGAGCGUAGGUGGAUUGUUAAGUCAGUUGUGAAAGUUUGCGGCUCAACCGUAAAAUUGCAGUUGAAACUGGCAGUCUUGAGUACAGUAGAGGUGGGCGGAAUGCGUGGUGUAGCGGUGAAAUGCUUAGAUAUCACGAAGAACUCCGAUUGCGAAGGCAGUUCACUGGACUGCAACUGACACUGAGGCUCGAAAGUGUGGGUAUCAAACAGGAUUAGAGACCCUUGUAGUC